Molecule: ribosomal RNA, 253 nt
Filed under: uncultured bacterium
Lineage: Bacteria
Description: partial 16S ribosomal RNA
Rfam family: Bacterial small subunit ribosomal RNA
Source: RNAcentral
UACGUAGGGGGCAAGCGUUGUCCGGAUUUAUUGGGCGUAAAGAGCGUGUAGGCGGCUUGGCAAGUCCGCUGUGAAAACUCGAGGCUCAACCUCGAGCUGUCGGUGGAAACUGCCUGGCUAGAGUCCGGAAGAGGAGUGUGGAAUUCCUGGUGUAGCGGUGGAAUGCGCAGAUAUCAGGAGGAACACCGGUGGCGAAGGCGGGAUCCUGGGUCAGUACUGACGCUGAGGAGCGAAAGCGUGGGGAGCAAACAGG